Molecule: transfer RNA, 81 nt
Filed under: Paragonimus skrjabini miyazakii
Lineage: Eukaryota; Metazoa; Platyhelminthes; Trematoda; Plagiorchiida; Troglotrematidae
Description: Paragonimus miyazakii tRNA-Asn
Rfam family: tRNA
About the family: Transfer RNA (tRNA) molecules are approximately 80 nucleotides in length.
Source: RNAcentral
GGCUUCGUAGCUCAGCUGGUAGAGUGCUUGCCGUAUUGAGGCAUGGUGUUUAUGUCGCUGGUUCGAAUGCAGCCGAAGCCC